GUCUUUGUAGUAAUACAAGGCAGACGGCUCAGUAACGCGUAGUCAAGCAACCCUAUGGACGGGAAUAAUCUCGGGAAACUGAGCAUAAUACCCGGCGUACCACCAUUCCUGGAAUGGUUGGUGGUUAAAAUGAUUCGUCGCCGUAGGAUGGGACUGCGACCUAUCAGCUUGUUGGUGGGGUAAAGGCCCACCAAGGCGAUUACAGGUACGGGCUCUGAGAGGAGAAGCCCGGAGAUGGGUACUGAGGCACGGACCCAGGCCCUAUGGGGCGCAGCAGGCGAGAAAACUUUGCAAUGUGCGAAAGCACGACAAGGUUAAUCCGAGUGAUUUCUGCUAAAGGAAUCUUUUGCCAGUUCUAAAAAUACUAGUGAAUAAGGGGUGGGCAAGUUCUGGUGUCAGCCGCCGCGGUAAAACCAGCACCUCAAGUGGUCAGGAGGAUUAUUGGGCCUAAAGCAUCCGUAGCCUGCUCUGUAAGUUUUCGGUUAAAUCUAUAUGCUCAACGUAUAGGCCGCCGAAAAUACUGCAGUGCUAGGAAGUGGGAGAGGUAGACGGUACUUGAUAGGAAGGGGUAAAAUCCUUUGAUCUAUCGAUGACCACCUGUGGCGAAGGCGGUCUACCAGAACACGUUCGACGGUGAGGGAUGAAAGCUGGGGGAGCAAACCGGAUUAGAUACCCGGGUA
This 680-nucleotide ribosomal RNA is filed under the name uncultured archaeon. RNAcentral's name for it is "bacterial SSU rRNA". It matches the Rfam family "Archaeal small subunit ribosomal RNA", at positions 57 to 743 of the family's 1478-position model. The record is from RNAcentral.